RNAcentral lists this long non-coding RNA (1169 nucleotides) under Cyanistes caeruleus (blue tit). RNAcentral describes it as "lncRNA (ENSCCEG00000005487.1)". Lineage: Eukaryota; Metazoa; Chordata; Aves; Passeriformes; Paridae. The record is from RNAcentral.
UGUCUGGGAGCCCACAGAGUGCUUGUCCAGGGCGGAGAGGAUUCCAGAGUCCCAGAAACACAGCGUCGCAGGGCCACAAACUAGGCUGCAAAAGACCUCUGAGAACCUCGACUAUGACCAAAUACCACUGUGCCAACAAGACCAUGGCCCUCGGUGCCAUGUCUAGUCUUCCUUAAGCACCUCCAGGGACUGUGACUCCACCACCUCCCUGGGCAGCCCCUUCCAGUAACCAGUCACUCUCUGAAUGAAGAAAUUCUUCCUAAUAUCUAACCUAAAAAUCUCUUGAUGCACUUUAAGACUGUGUCCCCUGGUACUUGCAUUUUAUCUGGUUUUUAUUACUCAAAAUGCUGACUCCUGCUUUGUUCAUUCAUGGAAAUAGGAUGUAAAGUCAACCCAAGGCCAGCUAAUAACCUGUUGCUCUCACUUGAUCCUGAGCUUUUCAUCUCUUUCUGGUUUGCCAGUGCUUUCACUCGUCUUACAGGUUUUGAAUUAAAUUCUAGCUUCUGUAGUUAAUAGAAUAAUUUCCAUUGAAGAUGGAAUCAAUCAAUUAAAUUACAGAUAAAUGAGGUGUACCCCAUUUAUUAGGUUUCUUCUUGGACUAAGCAAACUUCUUUUUCCAUGCUAUUGUUAUCUGCAGGUGAUUUGGAGUACUUGGAGGAUUUCCUGUCAACCUAGCCAAGAAGUUUUCUCAAAGGAGGAUGUUGUUAAACGUUAAGGAAGCAAGACUGAGCCUAUUCAGCCCUGGAAGUAUUUCCAUUUUUGCUUUGAUAUCCCCAUUUUCUUGACUGAAUGCCUGAGAACAUAACUGUACACAUACCGUUGUUUCUGGAUGCUGAUGAUCUUCAACAGCUGUCAAAACUAUGCAAGAACUUCCAGCAGGUAAUGUCAUAUAUUGGUGCCCAUAUUCAAGUUCAUUGUUAAGAAAGAAGGUGAGGUAGAACUUCCCUUCAGGUUGAUCCAGCAGAACCAUCUGCAGUUCUGCAUAGCCAGAUAUAGGGAGCAGCACCACACACACAUACCUGGCCACAGAUCAGUAGUUACAGACCAAGCCCUCCAUGCUGUGGACAAUCUAAAGCCAAACCCCCUGUCUUGCCAGCUGGAGCCUUCCACAAUUACUUUUCAGUCUGUUCACAAGAGUUGGCAACUGAGAUCCUGGAGGAAGAAAAAAC